AUCUUAGGGUCAAAAUUAGGGUCUUACAGCUGCCCCUAUUUAAGGACGUUCUAGCUGAGGAGAUGAAGGUUAAAAUCUUCGUAUCGACUCAAUAGAAUGGACUUAAAUAACAACAAUAAAAACAAAUUUUGGUCCCGAAGAGACCUCGUGAUGCAUAUGAUAUCAAAUGUUAAAAAUAAUCCCUAUGGGGAAAAUAUUGCCACAAAGGAAAAGAAUCCGGAGAGACUGAAAGUCUGCAGGAGCAUAAUGCAUUCCAUAAGGAAGACUUAUUGCGGAGACAAAGAC
This 285-nucleotide long non-coding RNA is filed under the name Lathyrus oleraceus (garden pea). RNAcentral describes it as "Pisum sativum (pea) long non-coding RNA (PSAT_LNC029581)". Lineage: Eukaryota; Viridiplantae; Streptophyta; Magnoliopsida; Fabales; Fabaceae. The record is from RNAcentral.